Molecule: long non-coding RNA, 813 nt
Organism: Nothoprocta perdicaria
Lineage: Eukaryota; Metazoa; Chordata; Aves; Tinamiformes; Tinamidae
Exons: 2
Source: RefSeq, a predicted model, not a curated record
UUCACUCCCAUUUCUCCAAUGAAGAGGAUAACAGGAAGGAAACUAAAAGCCACCUUCUUUGGAGGUUGGAGGAGUGUGAAGAGUGUACCAGAACUGGUGUAUGAUUAUAUGGCAAAGAAAUCUGAUUUAGAUGCCUCUAGCUCACGUAUUUUGCCAUUUUAGAAAAUCACAGAGGCUUCUGACCUUAUGAUUGAAGGAAAGAGGUAAGUUAUCAACAAAUUAAAUCUAUUACUCUGUUGAUGAAGCGAUUUUAAUUAUAUAAGCUGAACAUUUUGUAAUGCUAUCCUUAGAAUGUAUCAUUUGGAGCACAUUUAAAAGGGGAAAGAAUAAACAAGCAUCUUCAACUGUUCCAAGAAAACCAAUCUCAUCCYUGACACUAAUCUAUAUCUAAAUAGGAAAAUUAACACACCACCAAGGUGGCUGGGCAUUUCCACAAGCUUAGGUACUCUGCACUCACUCUGCACUGAGGAAAUCUAACGCGUGCCAGAAUUAGUACAAUUUCAAACUGAAGCACAGUUUUGAGUGCACAGGAAACAGCAAGUGAAUUUGAAUAAGGAAUCAGCCUGCAGAAGUUAAAAUGGUAUCUCAUACCCCAACGGACUGCAGUAAUUUCCUGCAAACCUCUACCUUUCUCAAGAAAUUUUAUUGCUGAAUUAUAUAACCAUUAUAUACUCACGGGAUAGAGUAAUAACAUUUUCAACUCCUAUAUUAUAAAAUAUGUAAGAAUGGAGGAGACAGAAGGGGUGGGGAGAGCAAUUUAAAAGGCCACAGAAUUCUCUUUCUUAGAAGCUGUUUGAAAAUAUUUUGUCUUCU